CCUACGGGUGGCAGCAGUAGGGAAUUUUCGGCAAUGGGGGGAACCCUGACCGAGCAACGCCGCGUGAACGAAGAAGUUAUUCGUAAUGUAAAGUUCUUUUAACAGGGAAGAAAGAGAAAUUUGACGGUACCUGAAGAGUAAGCUCCGGCUAACUACGUGCCAGCAGCCGCGUUAAUACGUAGGGGGCGAGCUUUAUCCGGAAUGAUUGGGCGAAAGGGGUGCGUAGAUGGCAUAGUAAGUCUUUUGUAAAAAUGCUGGGCUAAACCCAGUAGGGCAAAAGAUACUGCAAAGCUAGAGUAUGACAGAGGAAAGUGGAACUACAUGUGUAGCGGUAAAAUGCGUAAAUAUAUGGAAGAACACCAGUGGCGAAGGCGGCUUGCUGGGUCGAUACUGACGUUGAGGCACGAAAGCGUGGGGAGCAAACAGGAUUAGAUACCCGUGUAGUC
RNAcentral lists this ribosomal RNA (446 nucleotides) under uncultured bacterium. RNAcentral describes it as "partial 16S ribosomal RNA". It matches the Rfam family "Bacterial small subunit ribosomal RNA", at positions 338 to 795 of the family's 1533-position model. The record is from RNAcentral.